CGGGGCGCUAUGGAAACAUCAGACCCAACAAGAAAUGUACGACAGAUGUGAAGUCCAGAGCUUUCUUUACUUUCCUAGCGAGUCACUUGAAUGAGACUAGCAGGAGCCGACCCACGUGGGCCUCAGGGAAAGGACCAUCCCUGGCAGCAGGAGCCUAGUCCCCUGGGAGGAGGAGGAGACUGCCUGAAGUGGCCUUGUUCGGUGAACAGCCUUCACAACUGUGACAAGCGGCCCUGAUUGGAGGAAGACCAGUCCCAAAUGCUGUGGAAGAUGAGGGCUCAUAAGGAGCUAAGUGAAGAGGCCACACUUGAGCAGGCAGCCCUCCCACCUUUUCUCAUCAGUGCCCUCUGAGUGGAAGAGAAGUAGAAACUUCUCGGUUGGUACUCUUCUGGCUCCCCAGGGGCCAACAGAGGCUUCCCGGAGCUAGGCAUGAAACCACUGAGGAUCCUCACAGUUUCAAACUGAGCAGACCCCGCUGUAUUCUGUGAAGCCUCAUGGAUGCUCUCAGACUGGCCUAAUCAGAUGGAGGAGGCAAGCGAGAUCACAGACAAAACUGCCAGGGAUGUAAGUAUCCGGGUGAGGAGGGUGGUCUGUAAUGGAUGCAGGGAAGCAAGAAAAGAAAGUGGGAGAGAGAGACACGUUGAGAAGACAGUGUAUCUGCAUCAGAUCAUCGUAGGGCCCUGCCGCUUACAGAAGAAAUCAAGAGGAGUGAGGCUCUCUGGUCCCUCAGGGAGAAGGGCUGGUGGAAGGGCAGGUGGCAGAUACACAUGGGGAGGGCUGACCUGCCAGCAAGGUGAGAUAAAUCUGAAAAAUAAGUUUUACCAUACUCUUUACAUUGAAGCGUAUCGCUGAGUAAUUUGGUGGCAUGAUAUGGAGGGGAGCAGAAAUUAUAACUUAUUAGUCAGACAGGAGUCAAUGUUUCUGCUUAUUUGUAUGUGUGGGCUUUUCCCAUUCCCGGCCAGUUCUUCCUUCUGCCAUGUGUACCCAGGUUAUUCUUUUAUACACAUGGUCUCUGUAUCCAUUCUUACUGCAAGAUCAAAAGGGAAAAUUAUUCCCAAAGCACUGUUCUUGGACACUGAAUGUCAUCAAACAUCAAACAGAAUUGUUUCAACGUUUCUAUUUUUUUUUUUAUCAUCUCUUACCUUUUGCUUGUUCGAAGAGGCAGUUCAUCUUUAUUUUCAUUUAGAGGUA
This is a long non-coding RNA of Zalophus californianus (California sea lion), 1191 nucleotides long. RefSeq lists it as uncharacterized. The record is from RefSeq and is a predicted model, not a curated record. The transcript has 5 exons. NCBI's taxonomy places the organism in Eukaryota, Metazoa, Chordata, Mammalia, Carnivora, Otariidae.